This is a long non-coding RNA of Diabrotica virgifera virgifera (western corn rootworm), 780 nucleotides long. RefSeq lists it as uncharacterized. NCBI's taxonomy places the organism in Eukaryota, Metazoa, Arthropoda, Insecta, Coleoptera, Chrysomelidae. The record is from RefSeq and is a predicted model, not a curated record. The transcript is spliced from 2 exons.
UGUAUAUUCUUUGCUGUUUUGUAAUUAGAACUGUCUCGAAUUUUCGUACUUUAGAUCGUUUACUUUUGGAAGUACCUCGUAUAUUAAAUAAGCAAAUCCCCUAGCAAUUAAUUAUCUAACUAGACUAGUUCUAAAGAACACUCGUUCUGUUACAAACCUUGAGAUACAAAUAAUAUAUUUUGGCAGUAAGGCCUUCCAUUUCGUUUACGUGUAAUUAGUCGACGAGACUGUGUAUUUUUAGAUUUUAAAAUUCUAGGCGCCUAAGUCGGACAUCGAACCUUUUACCGAAUACACAAACGCAAAAUAAUGUACUUAUUUACACACAUACGGUCUUAUUUAUAUGUUUUAUUGUUUCUGUACAGAUUGUCCAUGACUUACAGUGAUAACGGAACGAUCAUGGUGCACCGCAUUGAUUCAGUGUACUUACGAAUAAAUACUUAGUACCUAAAAAAUUGACAAAUUUCUACUCGAAAUUUAGUUAUUUUAAAACUAGUGAUCUGCAGUCUUAGAAAACCACCUGUAGAGGCGUUUCCUGCUGCAAUUAACAUUACAAUUCGUUUUGGCGUAUUAAUUCAAAGUUUGUUACGAACCCUUAAUGGAUGGAGUGGAAAUUAACAGGGUCUACACCGUGCAAUAGUAAAGCAUUAGAAGGGAUGGAAGACUGCGAAAACUGUAGUAGGUGUAAAUAAUGAAUUUGAUUUAAGAAAUAAAUGAAGAAAUUACAGAAAAUGUUCAAUGUAUGUUAUCAAAUGUUGAAAUAAAUGCAAAAAAUAUGUCUCA